Non-coding RNA from Paramuricea clavata, 103 nucleotides. The record is from the annotation of a GenBank genome assembly. NCBI's taxonomy places the organism in Eukaryota, Metazoa, Cnidaria, Anthozoa, Malacalcyonacea, Plexauridae.
GCUAUAAUAUCAUGAUUGCAGGUAUUCCCUUUGUUCUCGCAGGGCAAUUAAUAACUAAUACACCCUGCCAGAACAACGGGAAUACCCGCAAUCAUGAUAUUAU